GCCAUAUCAUUCUGAAACACCGAUUCCCAUACGAUCACCGAAGUUAAGCAACAUCGUGCUUGGUCAGUAUCUAGAAGGGUGGACGCUUGCGAAUACUAGAUGCUGUAAG
Non-coding RNA from Acanthosepion pharaonis, 109 nucleotides. The record is from the annotation of a GenBank genome assembly. Lineage: Eukaryota; Metazoa; Mollusca; Cephalopoda; Sepiida; Sepiidae.